AAAAAACGGAGCCGCUCGUAGCCGCCACCGCCGCAGCAGCCGCCGACCGGAGGGCGCAUGCGCCGGGAGGGAAGCAGGAGGGAGCGAACCGGGAGCGGAGAGGAGGGAGGCGGGCCGCGCUAUUCAGCCCCACACUGCUAUGGGAGAGAAUGAAGUUCUUUGUCUCUAAGGGAUCCAGACCAGAAACGGAGGGACCUCUGGUUCCCAGAGGGAGGAAAAUCCAUGAUGUCUGCAGCCGAGGGAGUUGUUGCCACAACCUCCCUGGAAUGAAGUGUUGCCAACUACCAACAGUUCUUUCCCAACGACCAUCUCCCCAGCCUUCUUAAGUCACUUGAGCAUCUUCUGGAGGUUCAUGAAAGGUUGCAGCGAAGGAAAUCUGCGAAGCGAUUUAUCCCUUUACCUGGAAUAGGAAUACUUGAGAGUAUUCUCUUGUGUUGAGCGCUUCUUCCUCUUCAUGUUCAGUGUGUGUGUGUGCGCGCGCGCUAAUUUUCAGGUAACUUUAGCCAACAAGUCCUCACAGAAUUCCUCGUGGAAAAACUUUUAACUAGUUUUAAUUGACUGUUGUUGUUAUUUUCUGUUGAGGUGUAUUUUUUUCCAAUCCGUAGGGAAAUGGAGAUGACUAUCAUUCUUUGGCCUAAUGUAAAAAAACCCUCUAAUUAAAACUGUUUCUCUGC
Long non-coding RNA from Equus quagga, 674 nucleotides. RefSeq lists it as uncharacterized. The record is from RefSeq and is a predicted model, not a curated record. NCBI's taxonomy places the organism in Eukaryota, Metazoa, Chordata, Mammalia, Perissodactyla, Equidae. The transcript has 2 exons.